AGCUGAAUUUGCAAUAUCACUGCCUUAUUUCCCUGCAGUUAAAAAGGAAAGAAUUGGAAUAUUUAUGAAUUUAAACAUUAGUAUUUUUGCAAGUCUUUGAGGCUGUCGUUUUGAUUUAUGUGGGCUACAUUUAGAUUUGCAUGUAAGCCCAGCCCUUGAUUGCUUUGAAACCUUUUGGUUUCACACAAACUGUUGUGUGUGAGCUGCAGUGAUGUCUCUGCUGCAGAACUCUGCAGCCCCGGUGAUUCCCCUCCAACAACUUCUGGAUCCUGCUGCUUCUGGAGAUGAUGGCACACCUUCAGCCAGCAAAGGUUUGCACUGGGGGAUUAUUUACUGGAGACUUGCAGUGUGCCAGAAUGUAAUUCCUGAGAUUGUAAGAAAGGAAAAUGCCCAGGAAGGAAUGGCCUGCUCUGCUCAGUGCUGCCUGUGCCUCUCAGCUGAUUGAAUUUCAUUGACCAGGUUAAUAUCGAGCCCUCGUGCAAUUACUGGCAGAGAAUGGAAUAUCAUUUUUUUGCCUUGCUUUUGAGCUGUGGAAGGAAGGUUUAUAUUUCAAAUGUUCUUUUAAUCGUGCAAGCAGGCUCUUGAAAAAGUCCCUUUAAUUUAGGGCAGGCUGGAAGAGUGCAGUUCAUGAGGCUUUUCCCCAAGUAACUUUUUCUUUUUUUUUUUUUAAUGCUGAGCUAUAGCAGGAGAAGGCAUUAAUCUUCAUUACAGAACAAGCUUGAUGUAAACCUGUGUGGCCUCUGUGGCCAAAGCAGUCUGGCUGCAUAGCUCAGGGAGCAGCA
This 782-nucleotide long non-coding RNA is filed under the name Ficedula albicollis (Collared flycatcher). Its description in RNAcentral is "lncRNA (ENSFALG00000025504.1)". Lineage: Eukaryota; Metazoa; Chordata; Aves; Passeriformes; Muscicapidae. The record is from RNAcentral.